UUAUUGAGGUAAAACCAUAAUGUAAAAAUCCUCACUUCUCCUAGUGUCCCAUGCCAGAGCAAACUGUAGCCCUGAACCCUUGCUGGCCUUGUCCAUGGGCUUUGAGCACUGAAGUGAGGGGGGGGGGG
RNAcentral lists this small nucleolar RNA (128 nucleotides) under Echinops telfairi (small Madagascar hedgehog). RNAcentral's name for it is "Small nucleolar RNA SNORA42/SNORA80 family (ENSETEG00000023895.1)". The record is from RNAcentral. Lineage: Eukaryota; Metazoa; Chordata; Mammalia; Afrosoricida; Tenrecidae.